Molecule: ribosomal RNA, 483 nt
Filed under: uncultured bacterium
Lineage: Bacteria
Description: partial 16S ribosomal RNA
Rfam family: Bacterial small subunit ribosomal RNA
Source: RNAcentral
AUUGAACGCUGGCGGCAGGCCUAACACAUGCAAGUCGAGCGGAUGAAGGGAGCUUGCUCCUGGAUUCAGCGGCGGACGGGUGAGUAAUGCCUAGGAAUCUGCCUGGUAGUGGGGGAUAACGUCCGGAAACGGGCGCUAAUACCGCAUACGUCCUGAGGGAGAAAGUGGGGGAUCUUCGGACCUCACGCUAUCAGAUGAGCCUAGGUCGGAUUAGCUAGUUGGUGGGGUAAAGGCCUACCAAGGCGACGAUCCGUAACUGGUCUGAGAGGAUGAUCAGUCACACUGGAACUGAGACACGGUCCAGACUCCUACGGGAGGCAGCAGUGGGGAAUAUUGGACAAUGGGCGAAAGCCUGAUCCAGCCAUGCCGGGUGUGUGAAGAAGGUCUUCGGAUUGUAAAGCACUUUAAGUUGGGAGGAAGGGCAGUAAGUAAUACCUUGCUGUUUUGACGUUACCAACAGAAUAAGCACCGGCUAACUUCGUG